Long non-coding RNA from Lutra lutra (Eurasian river otter), 1426 nucleotides. RefSeq lists it as uncharacterized. The record is from RefSeq and is a predicted model, not a curated record. The transcript is spliced from 3 exons. Lineage: Eukaryota; Metazoa; Chordata; Mammalia; Carnivora; Mustelidae.
UUUAAAAAAAAGAAUAAAGGGGAUAUUACCAUAAAAUUAUCAUAAAAAGGGGACAUUGGGUCUAACAGGGUUGAGAAUCACCGUUUCAUAUGAGACCAAGGAAUUUCUGUUCUCUCAGUUUAACUCAGCACGGAACAGUGUUUAAUCAAAGCCAACAAUUAGAACUAUUUUCAGCCACUUGAGUUAGCUCACUGAUCCAGACUCUCUCAUGGAUACAUGCCAGUUGAUAAGUUCAGCCUAGUCUGAAGUUAUGUUCCUGCCUCCUGAUCUAACACCCUUAGAAUUUAUUACCACACAUAUUCACUGUUCAGGGUUUGGACAAUGUAAAUUAGCACAUAGAAGCAGCCAGCCUGCCUGAUGGUUUUUGACUCCUUGUGUGCACCAGCCUGACCUCCUCACUUAUGGUUUAUAGCGGCUGACAUGACAUCUGCUAAAGCCUUGUCUUUAAGAGACAAUUCCUUCAAAGUCAUCAUAGGUGGUAACUUAUGUUUUUUUAGCACCAGUCCUUGGACUACCAGUGUCCUUUCCUUUUCUCAUUAUGGUUUUCUGAUACUGUUUCAUAGAGGAGGUCUUCUUGCAUUUUAUGGAAGAGGACAAAAAAAUGGAAAUUUCUUUCUGAAUAAUGCUCUAGGAUGAUUUUCAGAACGAUGUUCUGCUCCUUCUUCCCCACUGGAUUGUGAAUCAAUAAAUAUUAUAGAGAAUCUAUUAUGUGCUAGACAUUAGGGAGGUGUCCCUACUCCCAUGACAUGUUAAAGGUACUGUUCCCGUCCUCUUAAUUCUGUAGAGCUUUUCAUGGUCUUCACUUCUUUAUGAAGUCAGAUUUUUCCAGACUCUUCUGUCUUUGUCAAUAUCAGUGGCAGUUGAAUGGAUCCUUAUCAAUAACACUGACAAUUGAAUGGAUCCUUUUAUAUGAUUCUGGAUUAUAUCCAAGUAUCUGCUAAUUCAAUUUGAAGAGCAUGUAUCUACUAUACAUAAAACACUGUGCUAAGAGAUAUGGCAAAUGAUAGUAAUAGCCAGCACGCACUGAAUACUUAAUAAGUGUUGAUCACUUUUAUUUUUAUUUAUUUAUUUAUUUUUGUUGAUCACUUUUAAGUACUUUGCAUGUAUAACGUGUUUAGUCCUCAACCACUUUAUGAGGUGUUGCUGUUAAUACUCCCAUUUUACAGAUGAAGAAACUGAAGCAUUAAGGGCUUAGAACCUUGCUCAAGGUCAUAUGCCAGUAAUUAAAUUAAACACAGAUGAUCCACAUCCAGGGCCAAUUCUCUUAACUACUUCCUUGUGGGAUUCACUUGACCAUUCAUGAAAUGGUAUUUCUUUGCAUUGACUUUUUGAUCUGAUUGCUUAUCUUCCCUAUGAAAAUGGAGAAUUUCUCGAAGUUUCAGGUGUACAACAUAAUGAUUUGAUAUUUGUAUAUACUGCAAAAUGG